Molecule: non-coding RNA, 1957 nt
Organism: Cyanistes caeruleus (blue tit)
Lineage: Eukaryota; Metazoa; Chordata; Aves; Passeriformes; Paridae
Source: RefSeq, a predicted model, not a curated record
CAGCACGGCCCCGGGCAGCACGGCCCCGGGCAGCACGGCCCCGGGCAGCACGGCCCCGGGCUGUGGGACAGAUCCUGCAGCAGAUCCUGCACCCCCAUCUAGCGGCCUCCGCCGUCCCUGUGACACCAAGGGAAGGAGGGAAAACCCCGUGAGGACACCGGGGGCUUGCAAGAAAACCACCAGCUGCACAAGGGGGUUUUUUCAUUCCGGACACAAGGGAUGCUGUCCCAAGUUUCCCAAUCAAGCUAUCUCUCUUGUGGGAAGGAUUUCUGAGAGUUUCUGAAGAUAGCAUCGGAAACAUAUGCUGCAGACAGACAGGAGACAGAGACUAAGCAAGUACUGGAAGCCCAGUUUUAACACAACCCCCUCACCAAACACAUAAUGUUAUGCUGUAAGAAAAGCAGAUUGCAAAGACUUCCCAUUGACUUAAGCUAUGUUAGUAGGAGAAGAAAAUUAUUGUAUACACUGGAUAAGACUGAGUGAAAAAGAGACAGAGCUGGAAAUGGUAUUACAGUAAUUCUGCAUUUAACUCUUCUCAUUUCUUAGAAAUCUUGUGUCGGUUUCCUACCUUCAUUUUAUAUAAAAUUUUGUUUUCAGAACAAGACUUACAGUUCCUCAGCAAAAUGCCACAUUAACACAAUUGUGGUCAAGUUCACCUUCACCAGGACACUGGUGAUGUGUCUUCCACCUUCACUUUGGUUUUUGUUCCUGGAUGUGGUUUAUCUGUUAAACCACUACUGUCGCUCAGCUCGAGCGCGCCUGCAGCAGCUCAUCCCCAGAUGCUUCUGAGAAGUUCACACCUGGGUUCUGCGAGAGACACUCACUACAGCAGUGGGAGUUACCUUCAACACAAGCUGAGUGAACACGCCCUGAAUGCCGGUCAGCAGCUUUCCAUCCUGUGGGGGGCCACUGCCAGCCUCCCUGGAAACACUCCCCAAGAGAACCAGCGUGUGCAGCUUGUCACACAUCUCAGAGCCAGAUUCCGUGCACAUGAUUAUCCAGAGAGGACUGGUAAACUCCAGGAGUAUGACUAGCACAGACCUCAGCAAGUCCAAGGUUUUGUCACAGAACAUGUCCUAAUCAGAAGGGUGGUGGUUCCAUAGGCCUGUGAGCCAAUCCUUAGGCAUGCAGGGUGCGAGGGCUCAGCUCGUUCCUCCUGUCCUUUCAACAUGGUCUCAGCUCAGUUACUGUGCAGUAACACAAGGAGUCAGUUCAAGAUGCUGACCUAGCUGAGCAAGCUUCCUUUGCUAAGGUAGUUUAUGGCUGGCUCAGAUGCUCAGUUUGGUUCACUGCAGAGUCCCAUGGCUGCAAUGCUGACAAUAAAAGGGAUGGGUGGGGAUGAGUGGAGGAGUGAGGAUGAGACUAGGCAGGUUACACUCAAGAAUCUCCAUCCAUGGCCCCACUCCGAGCAGAUGCUGUGCCAAGAGGCAUGCUGGUGGCCACUGUGAAUUUAAAAGGACUCCAGACACGGACACAGUUUUCAGAAAUAAACCGUUUCUUUUAAUUGGCAAGUAGAACACACAUUACAAGUCAUUAGUAUUUUAUAAACAAUAUUAAGUUACAAAUACAUGUUAAAAAUUGCAGUUCAUGGCAGCUAAAAGCUUGGAGUCCUAAAUGCAUCUUUGCAAUGCUUCAUUACUUCCCUUUCCCCAGUCUGCUGGGUGAAGAUGAAUAAAAGAUCAUUUAUCAUCUACUAGAAAGUGGUCUACUAUAUAUUUGAACAAAACCAAAACUUAAUUUCUAAGAUCACUAACAAACAGAGGCAUUCAAAAUACUUUAGCCAUCUUAAAUCAUGUCAGAUGCAAUGAGGACACAGUUAAGAAUUAUUCUUUAACACUUGAACACAGACAUCUUCACAUUAAACUGAUCAAUGCUUUCUGAUCCAACUCAGCUUAAAAUCUGUACUAGCUUCUACCCCACAGAGGCCUAACAUCCACCAUGCAGGCUUCCAAGCCUU